Molecule: ribosomal RNA, 467 nt
Filed under: uncultured Bacillus sp.
Lineage: Bacteria; Bacillati; Bacillota; Bacilli; Caryophanales; Bacillaceae
Description: bacterial SSU rRNA
Rfam family: Bacterial small subunit ribosomal RNA
Source: RNAcentral
ACGGGGCCGCACAAGCGGUGAGCAUGUGGUUUAAUUCGAAGCAACGCGAAGAACCUUACCAGGUCUUGACAUCCCCUGACAACCCGAGAGAUCGGGCGUUCCCCUUCGGGGGACAGGGUGACAGGUGGUGCAUGGUUGUCGUCAGCUCGUGUCGUGAGAUGUUGGGUUAAGUCCCGCAACGAGCGCAACCCCUACGUUUAGUUGCUAACGCGUGAAGGCGAGCACUCUAGACGAACUGCCGUUGACAAAACGGAGGAAGUGGGAUGACGUCAAAUCAUCAUGCCCCUUAUGUUCUGGGCUACACACGUGCUACAAUGGCCGGUACAGACGGACGCAAAGCCGCGAGGUGGAGCAAAUCCUAAAAAGCCGGUCUCAGUUCGGAUUGCAGGCUGCAAUUCGCCUGCAUGAAGUCGGAAUCGCUAGUAAUCGCAGGUCAGCAUACUGCGGUGAAUACGUUCCCGGGCCUU